Molecule: ribosomal RNA, 253 nt
Filed under: uncultured bacterium
Lineage: Bacteria
Description: partial 16S ribosomal RNA
Rfam family: Bacterial small subunit ribosomal RNA
Source: RNAcentral
UACGGAGGGAGCGAGCGUUGUUCGGAAUUACUGGGCGUAAAGCGUGCGCAGGCGGCUUUUCAAGUCAGAAGUGAAAUCCCAGGGCUCAACCCUGGAAUUGCUUUUGAAACUGGAUAUCUUGAGUCUCGGAGAGGUUGGCGGAAUUCCCAGUGUAGCAGUGAAAUGCGUAGAUAUUGGGAGGAACACCAGUGGCGUAAGCGGCCAACUGGACGAGUACUGACGCUCAUGCACGAAAGUGUGGGGAUCAAGCAGG